Molecule: ribosomal RNA, 467 nt
Filed under: uncultured bacterium
Lineage: Bacteria
Description: partial 16S ribosomal RNA
Rfam family: Bacterial small subunit ribosomal RNA
Source: RNAcentral
ACGAACGCUGGCGGCGUGCUUAACCCAUGCAAGUCGAACGGAAAGGCCCUGCUUUUGUGGGGUGCUCGAGUGGCGAACGGGUGAGUAACACGUGAGUAACCUGCCCUUGACUUUGGGAUAACUUCAGGAAACUGGGGCUAAUACCGGAUAGGAGCUCCUGCUGCAUGGUGGGGGAUGGAAAGUUUCGGCGGUUGGGGAUGGACUCGCGGCUUAUCAGCUUGUUGGUGGGGUAGUGGCUUACCAAGGCUUUGACGGGUAGCCGGCCUGAGAGGGUGACCGGCCACAUUGGGACUGAGAUACGGCCCAGACUCCUACGGGAGGCAGCAGUGGGGAAUAUUGCACAAUGGGCGGAAGCCUGAUGCAGCAACGCCGCGUGCGGGAUGACGGCCUUCGGGUUGUAAACCGCUUUCGCCUGUGACGAAGCGUGAGUGACGGUAAUGGGUAAAGAAGCACCGGCUAACUACGUG